GAAAAUCAAAUAUUAUGAAAUAUUUAGAUCCUCUCGUAAAUAGAAAAGUGGUUGAGGGAGCCAAAAGAAUAAACAAACAAACAAUGCGGCUAAGAAACAUAGUUAUGAGAAGUUUGAGAACAUAAAAUAAAAUCGAUCACGAGAAAAAGGAAAUAGAGAGAAUCACGUCAUGCCCAUACUCUCGUAUUCAGGUAUUUUCUCUCUCUACAUAUAUAUACAUAUGCAAUAUAUGUGUUUCGUGUGUGUGGUUACUAGUUAUGCAUCUACAUUAAUUUGUAUACAAUUUCGUUUAUUUGCAAUUGAUUUGACUUCCCUUGUGAUUUUUCAUGGUAUUUAAUCAUGACUUUUGGAGGUGUAUUGAAUUAUUUUUAAGCCAAAUAAUUCGUGAUUGGGUAUUAAGGAAUGAGAUAAUGGGGAAUCUAGGUAUCUGCUUCGUUUAGUUGCAAUUCUACUGGUUAUUGGGGGUAUGCUUGCCAGUUUUGACUCUUUUUUGGAUGUGGCACUAUCUAUGAGAGGUAAAAACCAGUACCUACCUUUAUUUUUAUUAUUAUUAUUUUUUUUGGAUGUAGUGUAAUUUGGAUUGUGGAUCUCAACCCACCAAAUUAGUGGUUUCUGGCUGUUUUUCAAAAUUUCUUUCAACUUUCUUCUAAUAUUUAUAUAAUUAUUUCCAAAUCUACCUAAAAAGGAAUGAAGCCUAUACAAAAAGAAGAGAAUUCCUUUUCAAAUAAUAUAUUUGUUUUACUUCAUCUUAUAAUCCAAUAGAAAAUGAUUGUCAUGUAAGAGCUUAUUCAAAGCGGUCUUGCUAUACGUAUGUGGACGUUAACAUGCCCGUGUACACUUCCCUCAUAAGAGGGAGAGCCCACGCUGGGCGUUGUAGUCCUCCUUUGUAAGAGGAGUGUACACCGGCAUGUCAACGUCCGUGUACAAAUAGUAUAAUUAUAUUCAAAGCUACAAUAAUAAGUCCAUAGGUUACUCCAUACACAAUAUUAAAUGAUUGGGUAAACUAUGUAAAAUCAUAUUGAAUUGUACGGAGAAAGAUACACAUUUACUUCGUAUUGUUUACACAUAUCUAAUUUUUUUAUGCAUGUAUUUUUAGAACCGUUGUAUAAUAAACUCAAGUAUGAGUCGGAAUGUUUUACAAGCCGAACUAAAACCCACCCAAAAUCAGACCCCUCACAUGUACCUGAAACCGGUACUUUAAAAACCCCAUAGGGGUUUUAUCGUUGAAUACUUUCCGUUGGAUUUCUUUAGUUGUAGGAGCUUAUGCAGAUGAUUUUUUUUGUUCUAUUAUAUGUGAUGUUAUGACAAAAGAUACUGAUUAAUUUAAUAAUAUACAUGUUUUUGUGUGUGUAUCAGUAUGUCACUUAGCUAAUUAGCAUUAAAAUUUCUUCGGAAUUUCAAAAAUCUGUUUCAUGUAGCUUGGUGAGUAAAUUUUGAAUCAUUAGUAUAUUAAGUAAUAAAUACGGUGAUUGUUUGAAAGGUCAAAUUUCUUUAUCUGUGUUCUUCUGGGUUUCUUAGAUAAACUAUCGAGAUUCAAAUGAUUUUAGUUUUCAAUAAUGGAUGGGCAUUCUAAUUUGUAGACCUUACUCCCUAAGAUAUUAAAUUGACUAUCAACCAAUGAGAUUUUAAAAUUGAACAUAGUCUUUUGUUUUGCAUGAUUGAUUGUAUCAAUUAACAGAGUUUUCUUACUGAAGGUUUUUCAGUGAUUCUAUAAACAGAUAUUUCUAUUGUUUAAUGUUAAACUUUUUGUGAAAUUGGAGGCUCUUAUUAUUGUGUUACUUCCUUAUGCAUGCGUGUCUUUGUUGAUUUCAAUGGUAAGAGUUUGAUAUGAUUUGUGAUUUUAAUUUAUCUUGUUAUAUGGUAGCUUGUUGAUAUUACUUUUGGCUUAGCUUGAUAGUGAAUGCNUUUUUUUUAUAUUUUUAAUGGCUAAUCGGGUGCAAGGUAUCUUUUGUAAGAGAAGAGAGGUAGUUUUUUUUUUUUUUUUUUUUUAUGGGAUACUUAAAAUUGGUAAUUUUGAAGAAGAUAACGGAGAACUAAGUCAAGGCUAUAAUAGCAAUACAGAAAUUUGACAUCAAGUAGUACUUGCAAUUAUGGGAUCCUAACUAAUUUAUGAAAAAAGUACUGGGAAUUCCUCUAUUAUACUAUACAUCAGGAAACUUCCCAGAAUAGAUGGUUGUUAACUUCAGCGGAGAUACAGUCCUGCUUAAAAGUUCAACGUAAAAUAGAAGUUCAACGAAAAAUAGAGUAAUUCUUCUUAAACGGGAACACAGACAACAUGCCAAUAGAGGGUGCCACAUCGCCCCCUGUUUGGACAGGUCCCUGUCCAAGUAGCAGGGCCCGAAAAAUAAGCCAAAAAAUACCAUCUUCACGAAACAGAUUCCAUCUGUUACUAUUCAUCGGUACGGAAGAGUAUCUGCUGAUGUCGUACGCUCAAGAACUCUUCCUUGAUCAGUUUUGUACUUUAAAGAGUAUUCUACUCCAGAAUCACCUACAACAUAUAGUCACUAUUAGGGAAAUCGGGUCUUUUUUUUUACAACAGGAAAAACAAAAUAAAAUAAAAACUUUAGCAUGUAAAUAUUUGAUUACAAUCUAACUCAUAGUAGAAUCAGUUGACAAACGAUCAGGUGAUGCGCCCCAUUUCUUGUCUGCAUUGGCAAAAGAUUGGCUAAAGAUAAUAAUUACUUGGUGUGGUUGAAUGAUGCCCUUGGUUCUUCGAUUUCAUUUUAGGGUGGUGUUAUUUCUUAGUUGAAUUCUGGUUGGCUAUAGUCAUUUACAGCGUUUUGAUGUUUUUUAUUGAUUAAUUUACCAAUUUAUGUGUUAUUGGCAGGCUAUAGUUUCUUCUAGAAGGGAUUAGGGUUUGUUUGCCAAUUGAACUUGGGCUGGUAAAGAAAAUGACCAUGAAUCAGCGGAAUAUAAUUGAUUUAGAACAAGGAUGGGACUUUAUGUGAAAAGGGAUUACAAAGCU
This 2965-nucleotide long non-coding RNA is filed under the name Olea europaea (common olive). RNAcentral describes it as "long non-coding RNA (OEUR_LNC000871)". Lineage: Eukaryota; Viridiplantae; Streptophyta; Magnoliopsida; Lamiales; Oleaceae. The record is from RNAcentral.